Molecule: ribosomal RNA, 702 nt
Filed under: uncultured bacterium
Lineage: Bacteria
Description: bacterial SSU rRNA
Rfam family: Bacterial small subunit ribosomal RNA
Source: RNAcentral
CAAUCUACCUUUUACUGGAGGAUAGCCCUAAGAAAUUGGGAUUAAUACUGCAUAAUAAGAUUUAGUUGCAUGACUAGAUUUUCAAAGCUUCGGCGGUAAGAGAUGAGUAUGCGUAAUAUUAGCUAGUUGGUAAGGUAACGGCUUACCAAGGCUACGAUAUUUAGGGGGCCUGAGAGGGUUAUCCCCCACACUGGUACUGAGACACGGACCAGACUCCUACGGGAGGCAGCAGUGAGGAAUAUUGGUCAAUGGAGGCAACUCUGAACCAGCCAUGCCGCGUGAAGGAAGAAUGUCCUAUGGAUUGUAAACUUCUUUUAUUUGGGAAGAAACCUACCCACGUGUGGGUAGCUGACGGUACCAAAAGAAUAAGGACCGGCUAACUCCGUGCCAGCAGCCGCGGUAAUACGGAGGGUCCAAGCGUUAUCCGGAAUCAUUGGGUUUAAAGGGUUCGCAGGCGGUUUAUUAAGUCAGUGGUGAAAUCCCAUAGCUCAACUAUGGAACUGCCAUUGAUACUGAUAGACUUGGAUGUAGUUGGAGUAGGCGGAAUGUGUAGUGUAGCGGUGAAAUGCUUAGAUAUUACACAGAACACCGAUAGCGAAGCAGCUUACUAAACUAUAAUUGACGCUCAUGAACGAAAGCGUGGGGAGCGAACAGGAUUAGAUACCCUGGUAGUCCACGCCGUAAACGAUGAUUACUCGAUAU